Molecule: ribosomal RNA, 1005 nt
Filed under: Triticum aestivum (bread wheat)
Lineage: Eukaryota; Viridiplantae; Streptophyta; Magnoliopsida; Poales; Poaceae
Description: partial small subunit ribosomal RNA
Source: RNAcentral
AUGCAUCGGGGCUCCAUCGAAAUGUCAGGCGACUCAUACAAGGGAUUAGGGAGGCAAAAUAUUACGCAACUUGGGAAGGGGAUUCGUGAGGGAAUCACUGAUUUGGAUUUUCGGGAGGCAAAACAAGCAGCCUCGAGCAUAUUCCCCAAGGAUUUGGCAGAGGAGGGGAAGCUCGGGCGAGGGGGCUUCGGCAACGUCUACUGGGGCGGCAGCCUCAGUGAUCAAGACAGCCCGGUGGCCAUCAAGAUGUUGUCUGCGGAAUCGUCUGCGCAGGGGAGGAAAGAGUUCGAGGCGGAGGUGAAGAUCAUAAGCCGGCUGAGGCAUCGGAACCUUGUGCACUUGCUAGGAUGGUCCGACAGCCGCAAAGGGCUCAUGCUCGUCUAUGAGCUUGUGCCGGAAGGCAGCCUCGACCAACACAUUUACAGCACUAGUCGUCUGCUCACUUGGUCAGAGAGGACAUGGCACCAAGCUGGUAGACUCGGGCUGGCCAGGCUCGUGGAGCAUGGAGCUGAGGCACGGACGACACGGGUCGUCAUGGGCAUCGUGGGGUACAUAGACCCGGAGUUCAUCCGCACGUGCUGGUCGAGCACCGAAGCAGAUGUCUAUAGCUUUGGAGUCGUCCUGCUGGAGGUCGUGUCCGGCCAGCGGCCAAACUUGGGGAUGGAAGAGACGGCCGACAAAGCCAUCCCGCUGCUCAGGUGGAUUUGGGACCUGUACGAGAAGGGUGCCAUCAUUGAAGCGGUUGAUGAGAGGUUAAAGCGGGGAGAUACACAGCAGCUCGACAGCGACGGUGGCUGUAAGUGGCAGAUGCACCGCGCACUGGUCGUGCGGCUCUGGUGCACGCGUACUCACCCGGGCGAACGACUGUCUGAAGGACGUCAUGCUGCUGGCCCUGUCACUGCCGGCCUAGCUGACGUUACCCCUGGAUCACAUGGUUACAACAAUGUGUCUACAUCGUCGGCCAAUGCUUGCAGCGAGGUGUCUUGGGCCAGCAGCGGCAGAUGA